GUUGUACUUAACCCUUUCCCGGCUUUAGCCGUCAUAUGACGGCAGCGGUAGUGAUAAUUUUCAAAAAAUCGUUGUGGGCACUGUGUUGGAGCUAUGCACACACUGUAGGUACCAGCACAUGCACAUUGGGCUGCUCUUUCACAUGGUAUCUUUAAUAUCUUGCCUUGAGGUACGCUUUGUGCAGUACUGUCAAAAGAAAAGUGACCGUUUGAUAAUGGCUACAAGAUCUUUGUAGUACAACCUCAGCGAGGUUCUAGGGCAGCUAGACAGUGAGAAUAACGAUGCUUAUGGCCUUGUUGAGUAAGAGGACAGUGACUGGGAUCAUACCAAGAGAGGAAGCUACUUUUCAGAGGUCAAGCUAUAAACAUAGAGCCUGAAGAGCCAGAGGAAGAAGCUCCUGAGCAUGAACCAAAGUCCUGGACCUUGUGAAGAAAACAUUUCCCGGGAAAAGAGCGUCUGCCGAUACGACCUCGCAGAGAAGUUUCUGCUGAUCCUGAUUGAACCAUGUCACCGUGAGAACAUUGAGAACACUUACUUAGUGUUUUUAGUUACUUCAUGCCUUCAUACAAUAUUCUUUAUGUUCAUAA
This is a long non-coding RNA of Halichondria panicea, 587 nucleotides long. RefSeq lists it as uncharacterized. The transcript is spliced from 2 exons. The record is from RefSeq and is a predicted model, not a curated record. Lineage: Eukaryota; Metazoa; Porifera; Demospongiae; Suberitida; Halichondriidae.